AUUUAAUAAUGUGUUCCAGGUAUGAUAAUUUCUUGAGAGGAAAAUAUUGAUUGAAUGAAUAGGAGUUCAGUAAAUAUAUAGACCUUUUCAGCGGCGGGUUUCUUACUAAUUUUUUUUACAGCUCUUUAAUAACCGGGUUAGUCACUCGCUUAAUAUUUUUGUAUUUGAGGAUUUGUGACCAAGGCGUUUCCUAUGCAGAUGCUGUCGACGAUCUCUGAAAGCCUUGCGCUCUUUUUGAAAAUUAAAUAUUAUCUUCAGAAAUCCUUGAAAAGUCUGGCAGUCUGUGGUUUUAAAGUACGCCAUGGAUGUAAGAGGGUUUCCAACUUUUAGCUACUAUAAAUAUUACUUUA
This is a long non-coding RNA of Zophobas morio, 350 nucleotides long. RefSeq lists it as uncharacterized. The record is from RefSeq and is a predicted model, not a curated record. Lineage: Eukaryota; Metazoa; Arthropoda; Insecta; Coleoptera; Tenebrionidae. The transcript has 3 exons.